ACUCAAUUAAACCUAAAGGCGCAAUGAAAGUAAAGGUCCGCCUCGCGCGGACCUAGGGAGGAUGCGCCCGACCGCGGUCGGGCACCGCACUCCCGGGGCGUCUCGUUCUCAUAGCGAGAAGAGGCGCACCCAGAGCGUACACGCUGGGACCCGAAAGAUGGUGAACUAUGCCUGGUCAGGACGAAGUCAGGGGAAACCCUGAUGGAGGUCCGUAGCGAUUCUGACGUGCAAAUCGAUCGUCGGAACUGGGUAUAGGGGCGAAAGACUAAUCGAACCUUCUAGUAGCUGGUUCCUUCCGA
Molecule: ribosomal RNA, 299 nt
Filed under: Phanaeus igneus
Lineage: Eukaryota; Metazoa; Arthropoda; Insecta; Coleoptera; Scarabaeidae
Description: partial 28S ribosomal RNA
Rfam family: Eukaryotic large subunit ribosomal RNA
Source: RNAcentral